AGUCCCAGAAGAAAGAGGAGAUACUUGCUGAAGAUCUGGAUGGGACAAUAGAAGUUUGGGGCACAUUAAAAAGAAGCAGCAAGAACAGCAACAAAAACCUCAGAUGAUUCAAACAGGCUUCUUCUUGGCUUUGUGGAACCUUUUGCAGUUGCUCAGAAUUUGAGUUUUUGCUUCAGAGGAUGAUGAGACAAGGCAAUAGAGGGCGAGGAGGAUUAUGUUGGAUUCUUGCUUAUCUGUCUGCCUCUCCUUCCAGUUGGAAAAAUCUUCAGUCCAUAAGAAGCAUUAUCAACAAGCCUGAAGAACAUAUCUUACCCUGAUCCUGGAUGCUGUUGGAGUUGAGAAUUACAUCCACUGCACCAGGACUUUAUGGAGGCUGUUCAAGAAAAAUAGAAGGAAGCAAUACUUAAGGAUUUCUCUGUUUGCAUUAGUCCUGUGCCAUGUUACAUUUUGGAGAUUGUUUGGAACAAGUGAGGGAGGGCUCUGUCAUCUUGAUCUAGGAGGAUACCUGAGUCCCUUGACUACACAGAUGAUAUUUGGAAGGUGGCUAAAUGUGAACAAUAAUGUCUUGGAAGACAAAUUAUUUUUCAGGGGGUCGUGGUAGUGUACAAGGGAUGUUUGCACCUCGAAGCUCAACCUCCAUAGCCCCCAGCAAAGGCCUCAGCAAUGAGCCAGGGCAAAACAGCUGCUUCCUCAACAGUGCCCUGCAGGUUUUGUGGCACUUGGAUAUCUUCCGACGUAGCUUUAGGCAGCUUACAACUCACAAGUGCAUGGGAGAUUCCUGCAUCUUUUGCGCUCUCAAGGGAAUCUUUAACCAGUUUCAGUGUAGUAGUGAAAAAGUGCUUCCAUCUGACACUCUCCGCAGUGCUCUGGCAAAGACUUUCCAGGAUGAACAACGUUUCCAGCUGGGAAUUAUGGAUGAUGCUGCAGAGUGCUUUGAAAACCUCCUGAUGAGAAUUCACUUCCACAUUGCUGAUGAAACCAAAGAGGAUAUAUGUACUGCCCAACACUGCAUUUCCCAUCAGAAAUUUGCAAUGACAUUGUUUGAGCAGUGUGUAUGUACUAGCUGUGGUGCCACUUCUGAUCCGCUGCCUUUCAUCCAGAUGGUACAUUAUAUCUCCACCACUUCCCUUUGCAAUCAGGCUAUUUGUAUGCUGGAAAGACGAGAGAAACCUUCACCAAGCAUGUUUGGUGAACUGCUGCAGAAUGCCAGCACCAUGGGGGAUCUGCGGAACUGUCCAAGCAACUGUGGAGAGAGGAUCAGGAUUCGCCGUGUUUUGAUGAAUGCUCCACAGAUUAUCACGAUUGGGCUGGUAUGGGACUCAGACCACUCAGACUUAGCAGAAGAUGUUAUCCACAGCCUGGGAACCUGCCUUAAGCUGGGUGAUCUGUUCUUCAGAGUGACGGAUGACCGGGCCAAGCAAUCUGAACUGUACUUAGUUGGAAUGAUCUGUUACUAUGGCAAACAUUAUUCUACAUUCUUUUUUCAAACAAAGAUUCGCAAAUGGAUGUAUUUUGAUGAUGCUCAUGUCAAGGAGAUUGGGCCCAAAUGGAAGGAUGUGGUGACCAAAUGCAUCAAGGGGCAUUAUCAGCCCCUGCUGCUGCUUUAUGCAGAUCCCCAGGGUACCCCAGUGUCCACCCAGGACCUGCCUCCCCAAGCUGAGUUCCAGUCAUACAGCAGGACGUGCUACGACAGUGAAGAUUCAGGGAGGGAGCCCUCCAUCUCAAGUGACACUCGAACAGAUUCCUCAACGGAGAGCUAUCCCUACAAACAUUCCCACCAUGAGUCUGUGGUCAGUCACUUCUCUUCUGAUUCUCAGGGGACAGUCAUCUAUAAUGUGGAGAAUGAUUCCAUGUCUCAGAGCAGUCGGGACACAGGACACCUGACUGAUAGUGAAUGUAAUCAGAAACACACAUCCAAGAAAGGGUCACUGAUAGAGCGCAAGAGGAGCUCUGGUCGGGUUAGGAGGAAAGGCGAUGAGCCCCAGGCCUCGGGAUACCACAGUGAAGGAGAAACACUGAAAGAGAAGCAGGCUCCUAGAAAUGCCUCCAAACCAUCCAGCAGCACCAACAGGCUGAGGGAUUUUAAAGAGACAGUCAGCAAUAUGAUCCAUAACAGACCAUCCCUGGCUUCUCAGACCAAUGUAGGCUCUCACUGUGGGGGCAGGGGAGGAGACCAGCCUGACAAAAAACCUCCUAGGACCCUGCCUUUACACUCUCGUGACUGGGAAAUAGAGAGUACCAGCAGUGAGUCAAAAUCCAGUUCUUCCAGCAAGUAUCGUCCAACAUGGAGACCCAAACGAGAAUCUCUGAAUAUUGACAGUAUCUUUAGUAAGGACAAAAGGAAGCACUGUGGCUAUACCCAGCUUAGCCCCUUUUCUGAGGAUUCAGCUAAAGAAUUUAUACCAGAUGAACCAAGCAAGCCACCUUCUUACGACAUUAAAUUUGGUGGACCAAUCCCUCAGUACAAGCGCUGGGGCCCAGCACGGCCAGGCUCUCACCUUUUAGAGCAGCACCCCCGACUAAUCCAGCGAAUGGAAUCUGGCUAUGAAAGCAGUGAGAGGAACAGCAGCAGCCCUGUCAGCCUGGAUGCAGCCCUGCCUGAGAGUUCAAAUGUCUACAGGGAUCCAAGUGCUAAGAGAUCAGCUGGGUUGGUUCCUUCCUGGCGUCAUAUCCCAAAGUCGCACAGCAGUAGCAUCCUGGAGGUAGACUCCACGGCAUCCAUGGGUGGCUGGACAAAGAGUCAGCCUUUCUCAGGUGAGGAGAUAUCUUCUAAAAGUGAACUGGAUGAAUUGCAGGAAGAGGUGGCCAGGAGGGCGCAGGAACAGGAACUUCGAAGAAAACGGGAGAAGGAGUUAGAGGCAGCAAAAGGGUUUAACCCUCAUCCUAGCCGCUUCAUGGACUUGGAUGAACUGCAGAAUCAGGGGAGGAGUGACGGCUUUGAGAGGUCCCUGCAAGAGGCAGAGUCAGUGUUUGAAGAGUCACUGCAUCUGGAACAGAAAGGAGACUGUGCUGCAGCUUUGGCUCUCUGUAAUGAAGCUAUCUCUAAACUAAGACUUGCCCUGCAUGGUGCCAGCUGUAGCACGCACAGCAGAGCCCUAGUCGAUAAGAAGUUGCAAAUCAGUAUUCGAAAAGCACGGAGCCUGCAGGAUCGCAUGCAGCAGCAGCAAUCACCACAGCAGCCGUCGCAGCCCUCAGCCUGCCUCCCAACACAGGCGGGGACUCUCUCUCAGCCAACAAGGUAGUGCUUGGGAACCAUGUUAGUUUAUGAAUGCCAGGGGAAGAAAUGACCAUGAGUAGUCUAUAGCAAGAGCUCUCAUUGUCUUGGUGACUGAAGGGGAGAGAGGAGUCCUCUGAAAAGAUUUUCUUCUUUCAGGUCAGACAUACAGUGAAAAGCUCAUUGUACUGCUGGUCCUUAUCUUAAUAAUUCCUAGGAUGCAAAAAGUACAGCAUAAUAAGACCAUUUGUCCACAUUUCCCAUGGGUAACUUUAGCCCUGGACUUGUGUAAUAACGCGGUUAUGAUAUUUGCAUAUAUUAUGUUCUUAGACAUGGCAAUCCAGGCUACAUUUCAUGUUGUAGUAGCUACCAUGUGACUUAUUUUGGGAUUUCAGUGCUUCCUAUCCUUAUGGAAGCAGAGAAAGCAGUCUUUCUUGCUCUGAUUGCACCAUAGAGAAGAGACACAAAGAUUCCCUUUGCUUUGCUUCUUUAUGGUCAGGAAUAGGAAAGAAGUUCCAGUAGUCAUUGUUGUAGUUCUCACAUCUUAGCCCUGGAAUUUGGCUUUUACUUAGAAUAGAUGAAUUUAAAUAAACAUUAAUUUGGACCGUUAAUAAUUCUGAGUAGUUUUCAAAAUAUAAAUCAAUAAAAGCAGUUAACUUUUUUUUUUUUUUUUUUGGAGACAGGAUCUUGCUUUUUCACCCAGGCUGGAGUGCAGUGGCAUGAUCACAGCUUACUGCAGCCUCAGCCUCCUGGGUUCAGUGUUCAAAAGGCAAAUGUUCAAAAAUAGUUAACUGCUAGGCAUGGUAGCUCACGCCUGUAAUCCUAGAAUUUUGGGAGGCUGAGGAGGGCAGAUUAUUUGAGUCAAAGAGUUUGAGACCAGCCUGGGCAACAUGGUAAAACCCUGUCUCUACAAAAAACACAAAAAAUUUAGCUGGGCAUGGUGGUGCAUACCUGUGGUCCCAGCUACUUGGGAGGCUGGGGUGGAAGAAUCGGUUAGCCUGGCAGGUCAAGGCUGCAGUGAGCCGUGAUGGCGCUGCCACACUCCAGCCUGGGUGACAGAGCAAGACCUUGUCUCAAAGAAAAAAAAAAAAA
RNAcentral lists this small RNA (4306 nucleotides) under Pongo abelii (Sumatran orangutan). Its description in RNAcentral is "retained intron". Lineage: Eukaryota; Metazoa; Chordata; Mammalia; Primates; Hominidae. The record is from RNAcentral.